GACGAACGCUGGCGGCGUGCUUAACACAUGCAAGUCGAGCGGUAAGGCCCUUUCGGGGGUACACGAGCGGCGAACGGGUGAGUAACACGUGGGUGACCUGCCCUCAGCUCUGGGAUAAGCCUGGGGAAACUGGGUCUAAUACUGGAUAUGACUCCACGGUGCAUGUCGGUGGGGUGGAAAGCCUUGUGCGGCUGAGGAUGGGCCCGC
Molecule: ribosomal RNA, 207 nt
Filed under: uncultured bacterium
Lineage: Bacteria
Description: partial 16S ribosomal RNA
Rfam family: Bacterial small subunit ribosomal RNA
Source: RNAcentral